RNAcentral lists this ribosomal RNA (229 nucleotides) under uncultured bacterium. RNAcentral's name for it is "partial 16S ribosomal RNA". It matches the Rfam family "Bacterial small subunit ribosomal RNA", at positions 131 to 353 of the family's 1533-position model. The record is from RNAcentral.
UUAUAGUGGGGGAGUAGCGUUUUCGUAAAGGAAGAUUAAUACCGCAUAAGAUUGUAGUAUCGCAUGAUAUAGCAAUUAAAGGAGCAAUUCGCUAUAAGAUGGACCCGCGUCGCAUUAGCUAGUUGGUGAGGUGAUGGCUCACCAAGGCGACGAUGCGUAGCCGACCUGAGAGGGUGAUCGGCCACAUUGGGACUGAGACACGGUCCAGACUCCUACGGGAGGCAGCAUG